RNAcentral lists this ribosomal RNA (503 nucleotides) under Seulocia vittata. RNAcentral's name for it is "partial 16S ribosomal RNA". The stretch from base 369 to 503 matches the Rfam family "Bacterial large subunit ribosomal RNA", at positions 2473 to 2608 of the family's 2925-position model. Lineage: Eukaryota; Metazoa; Arthropoda; Malacostraca; Decapoda; Leucosiidae. The record is from RNAcentral.
GGCCUGCUCACUGAUAAGAUUAUUAAAGAGCUGCGGUAUAUUGACUGUACAAAGGUAGCAUAAUCAUUAGUUUUUUAAUUGUAAACUUGUAUGAAUGGUUUGACAAAAUAAAUAUUGUCUCUGUUAUUUAAAUAGAAUUUAACUUUUAAGUGAAAAGGCUUAAAUUUGUCAAAGUGACGAUAAGACCCUAAAAGCUUUAUAUUUUUAUUUUAUUUUAUAAAAUUGAUUUAAUUAUAGAUUUUAGAUAUUUUAAUUAAUUGGGGCGAUGUAUGAAUAAUUUCUAUAACUUUAUAUGUUUAAUACAUUUAUAUAUGUAAAAUUAUUAAUAGAUCCUUAUAUAUUAGGAUUUUAAGGUAAGUUACUUUAGGGAUAACAGCGUAAUUUUUUUUGAGAGUUCAUAUCGAAAAAAGAGAUUGCGACCUCGAUGUUGAAUUAAAAUUUCUAUUUAAUGUAGCAGUUAAAUAAGAAGGUCUGUUCGACCUUUAAUUUUUUACGUGAUCUGA